This 2942-nucleotide ribosomal RNA is filed under the name Paenibacillus physcomitrellae. RNAcentral describes it as "bacterial LSU rRNA". It matches the Rfam family "Bacterial large subunit ribosomal RNA". The record is from RNAcentral. Lineage: Bacteria; Bacillati; Bacillota; Bacilli; Caryophanales; Paenibacillaceae.
UUAAGCUACUAAGAGCACACGGAGGAUGCCUAGGCGCUAGGAGCCGAAGAAGGACGUGGCGAACAACGAUAAGGCCUCGGGGAGCUGUAAGCAAGCUUUGAUCCGGGGAUGUCCGAAUGGGGAAACCCGGCUGGUGUAAUAGCCAGUCACUCGUAACUGAAUACAUAGGUUGCGAAGAGGCAGACCAGGGGAACUGAAACAUCUAAGUACCUUGAGGAAGAGAAAACAAGUAGUGAUUCCGUCAGUAGCGGCGAGCGAACGCGGAAGAGCCUAAACCAAGAGGCUUGCCUCUUGGGGUUGUGGGACGUCUCACAUGGAGUUACAAAGGAAUAGGGUAGGCGAAGAGGUCUGGAAAGGCCCGCUAGAAGAGGUAAAAGCCCUGUAACCGAAAGUCUAUUCCCUCCGAGACGGAUCCCGAGUAGUGCGGGGCACGUGAAACCCCGUAUGAAUCUGCCAGGACCAUCUGGUAAGGCUAAAUACUCCCUAGUGACCGAUAGUGAAGCAGUACCGUGAGGGAAAGGUGAAAAGCACCCCGGAAGGGGAGUGAAAGAGAUCCUGAAACCGUGUGCUUACAAGAAGUCAGAGCCCUAUGAUGAAACUUCGUUUCAUCACGGGUGAUGGCGUGCCUUUUGUAGAAUGAACCGGCGAGUUACGUUCCCGUGCAAGGUUAAGGUGAGAAGCCGUAGCCGCAGCGAAAGCGAGUCUGAAUAGGGCGAAUAAGUACGUGGGCGUAGACCCGAAACCGUGUGAUCUACCCCUGUCCAGGGUGAAGGUGCGGUAACACGCACUGGAGGCCCGAACCCACGAACGUUGAAAAGUUCGGGGAUGAGGUGGGGGUAGCGGAGAAAUUCCAAUCGAACUCGGAGAUAGCUGGUUCUCCCCGAAAUAGCUUUAGGGCUAGCCUCGGUGGUACAGUCGUGGAGGUAGAGCACUGAUUGGGUGCGGGGCCCGCAAGGGUUACCAAGCUCAGUCAAACUCCGAAUGCCAUAGACUGAUUAACCGGGAGUCAGACAGUGAGUGCUAAGAUCCAUUGUCAAAAGGGAAACAGCCCAGACCAUCAGCUAAGGUCCCCAAGUGUGUGUUAAGUGGGAAAGGAUGUGGAGUUGCACAGACAACCAGGAUGUUGGCUUAGAAGCAGCCACCAUUUAAAGAGUGCGUAAUAGCUCACUGGUCGAGUGACUCUGCGCCGAAAAUGUAACGGGGCUAAACACACCACCGAAGCUAUGGCUUGAUGCAAUGCAUCAGGGGUAGGGGAGCGUUGUAUGUGGGUAGAAGGUGUACCGUAAGGAGCGCUGGACAGCAUACAAGUGAGAAUGCCGGUAUGAGUAACGAAAAGAUCAGUGAGAAUCUGAUCCGCCGAAAGCCUAAGGGUUCCUGAGGAAGGUUCGUCCGCUCAGGGUAAGUCGGGACCUAAGGCGAGGCCGACAGGCGUAGUCGAAGGACAACAGGUGGAAAUUCCUGUACCACCGUAAACCGCUAUGAGCGAUGGGGUGACGCAGCAGGGUAGUGACGCGGACUGAUGGAUGUCCGUCCAAGCAGUGAGAGGGUAGCAUAGGCAAAUCCGUGCUACAUAACCUUGGGCUGUGAUGGGGAGCGAAAAUUGCAGUAGCGAAGGUCAUGAUCUCACACUGCCAAGAAAAGCCUCUAGCCAGGUGAAGGUGCCCGUACCGUAAACCGACACAGGUAGGCGAGAAGAGAAUUCUAAGGCGCGCGGAAGAACUCUCGUUAAGGAACUCGGCAAAAUGACCCCGUAACUUCGGGAGAAGGGGUGCCUCGGUAGGGUGAAUAGCCCGAGGGGGCCGCAGUGAAAAGGCCCAAGCGACUGUUUAGCAAAAACACAGGUCUGUGCGAAGCCGUAAGGCGAAGUAUACGGGCUGACGCCUGCCCGGUGCUGGAAGGUUAAGGGGAGUGGUUAGGGGUAACCCGAAGCUAUGAACUGAAGCCCCAGUAAACGGCGGCCGUAACUAUAACGGUCCUAAGGUAGCGAAAUUCCUUGUCAGGUAAAUUCUGACCCGCACGAAUGGCGUAACGACUUGGGCGCUGUCUCAACGAGAGAUCCGGUGAAAUUUUAAUACCUGUGAAGAUGCAGGUUACCCGCGACAAGACGGAAAGACCCCAUGGAGCUUUACUGCAGCUUGAUAUUGGACUUUGAUACGAUUUGUACAGGAUAGGUGGGAGCCUAGGAAGAGGGAGCGCAAGCUUCCUUGGAGGCGCCGUUGGGAUACCACCCUGAUCGUAUCGGAGUUCUAACCUGGUGCCCUAAUCGGGCAUGGGGACAGUGUCAGGUGGGCAGUUUGACUGGGGCGGUCGCCUCCUAAAGAGUAACGGAGGCGCCCCAAGGUUCCCUCAGAAUGGUUGGAAAUCAUUCGAAGAGUGCAAAGGCAAAAGGGAGCUUGACUGCGAGACUGACAAGUCGAGCAGGGACGAAAGUCGGGCUUAGUGAUCCGGUGGUACCGCAUGGAAGGGCCAUCGCUCAACGGAUAAAAGCUACCCUGGGGAUAACAGGCUUAUCUCCCCCAAGAGUCCACAUCGACGGGGAGGUUUGGCACCUCGAUGUCGGCUCAUCGCAUCCUGGGGCUGAAGUAGGUCCCAAGGGUUGGGCUGUUCGCCCAUUAAAGCGGUACGCGAGCUGGGUUCAGAACGUCGUGAGACAGUUCGGUCCCUAUCUGUCGUGGGCGUAGGAAAUUUGAGAGGAGCUGUCCUUAGUACGAGAGGACCGGGAUGGACGCACCGCUGGUGCACCAGUUGUUCCGCCAGGAGCACAGCUGGGUAGCUAAGUGCGGAAGGGAUAAGCGCUGAAAGCAUCUAAGCGUGAAGCCCCCCUCAAGAUGAGAUUUCCCAACUAGUAAGACCCCUUGAAGACGACGAGGUAGAUAGGCUGGGGGUGGAAGUGCAGCAAUGCAUGGAGCUGACCAGUACUAAUCGGUCGAGGGCUUAUCCAA